Molecule: non-coding RNA, 4288 nt
Organism: Podarcis lilfordi (Lilford's wall lizard)
Lineage: Eukaryota; Metazoa; Chordata; Lepidosauria; Squamata; Lacertidae
Source: the annotation of a GenBank genome assembly
GGUCCUUUUACCUUUACCUAUGUAUUGGUAUAUGUAUAUGUAUAUGUAUAUGUAUAUGUGCAAAGUCCAAAGGAUAGCUGUCUUCAGCUUUGCACACUGUUUCAGAAAGUGCAAGUUUUGUAUGUUCACCUUCAAACAUGACCUGAAUUGAAUGUCUCCCUCACCCCUCGUUCCACAGUCCAUUUUUGUUCUAUUUCCCCAUUCAUUAAUGCUUACAGGAGGUGUCUUGAGCACAGAGAUUGCCCUCUGUAUCUAGUUUGUCUGGUGGAGAAGAGGAAGGCCUAAUCACACCUCCCUCCUUCAAAGCCAAUCCAGCUUCCUUUUUCCAAGCCCUCUGAAUUUUGGGCAGCUGGCAUGACCUUCUGGCUCACAGAAUAGCCCUGGGAUAGUCAAAAGAACGUGGAACGACAAUAUAAUAAUUAUUAUUAUUAUAUCUCAGGCCUCUACACCCCCUGCAGCCUGGGGAUUAGAAUCCUUAUUGACCCAACAGGGUACAAUUUGAGAAAUUACACGCAUCGUACACUGUAUUUGGGGCACAUGUUCAAAGAUGAACAGUGGGCAGGUACCAGCCUUCCAGAUCUAAGACUUUCACUAAGGUUUCCACAUUGUCCAGCAAGGGGCAGCAACUACUGGUGAACAGAUCAGGUCGAGAGCUGGGAGGGAGUUAGAAACAAAGCAAAUAAGCAGACAGAGAACAAAAGCUGUUCUGUCCUCUCCUUCCUCUAGUAAUAGAAUUGUAUUCCCCUGGGGUUUCCCAAAUGAGGGUAUUUUCAGACUUCAAAUGUGAAGUUCCUUUAUUAUGGUGGGAGAUCAACUCAGCUUUCUGCCAAACUUUCCUAGGGGAAAACACCAGCAGUUUCCCUGCUUGGGAAACACCAGCCCCUUCUCCCUGCUCCACACAGAACCACAGAAUUGUAGAGAUGGAAGGGACUCCUAAAGGUUUUCUAGUCUAGCCCCCUGCAAUGCAGGAACUUCUUCGGCAAUCACUCAUAGCUAAGGAAGCAUGCAGUCUGAGCAAGGACACAAACGCCACUAAAGGGAGCGCGGUUGUCAUCCUCUAAACAUGGCGGUACUCCAGCUCCCAUCAUAGAAUCAGAGAAUUGUAGACUUAAAAGGGACCACAAGGGGCAUCUAGUCCAACCCCCUGCAAUGCAGGAAUCUUUUGCCCAACAUGGGGCUUUCACCUACAACCCUAAGAGUCUCUUGCUCUACUCACUGAGCUGCCAAGGCAGAGUUCUGCCCAACCAUCAUGGCCAACAGUCAUGGCUGAUGGGAGCAUCUGUGUGCAGUGCCAGAUUUAAGUACAUUCAUAUCUCAGGUUGCAGACGCUUCAGGUUGCGCGUUUUCGGGUUGCAGAUGUGUAGAAACCCGGAAGUACCGGAACGGGUUACUUCCAGGUUUUGGCGCAUGCGCAGAAACACUAAAUUGCACUUUGUGCAUGCGCAGAAGCGCCAAAUCGCAUGCACAAAUGCAGCGCUGCAGGUUGCGGACACUGCUAGGUUGGCAGGAGCUGGGACCAAGCAACGGGAGCUCACCCCGUCGUGGGGAUUCGAACCGCCGACCUUCUGAUCGGCAAGCCCUAGGCUCAGUGGUUUAGACCACAAUGCCACCCGCGUCCUGGUGCACAUCUGUAAAUAAACAUCAGGCACCCAGAGCCCAGUAGAAACGGAUGGACAUCUACAUCAGAUUCCUAGAAGCAAGGUGAAGCCUAAAGCCUCUCCAUUGAGUCCUGCUUCUUAAUUGUAUUUCAGUUCAGCUAUUACUUUGAUAAAAUACAUACUUUGUUAUGUGCAAAUGGCUUUAGAUACCUGCUAGGUCCAUAAAUUACCAUAUAGAAUAAAUUCAACACAAAAAAACAGCAACAAUUUGUUGUUGACAAAGGAUAGCUGGACAUAUAAAGGGCCCCAUUACCUUCAGUAGCUUAGGGCCUCACCAAACCUAAAUCUGGCCCUGGCUGCAUGCUUCACUGCCCUCUGCAACUCCUUGCCAUUCCUGAGUCCAGCAGAAGUUGCAUGAAUUAUGCCAUAUUAUAAAAACAAUGCUAGUUUGUAUAAUUUAUUCAGGGCACAGCUUCAGUUUUUUCUUGUCAUGGGAUCUGCAGAUGAUUAUUAUUAUUUUACUGUUUUGAGGUGCACGCAGCCUGAUAGACUGCUUUUGAAUAGGAAAGUUCCAUUUAAUCUCCAAUAGAAAUUGAGAGACUUUAUCCUGCAUUACUUUGUAUACCCUUUAAAAAACAACAACACCCUAAGCUAAAAAAAAGUCACUAUAGAGUAUCUUCUUCUGUUCCUUUUCCCAAAGUAUUUCCUCGCAUUCGUGUUUCAGGCCCCAUCUGUAUAGUACUUCUAAAGCAGUAUCAUGCCAUUUUUACAGUAAUGGUUUCCCACAAAGGAUCCCAUAGUCUGUUAAGGCUGCUAAGAGAAGACCCCAGUUCCACUCAGAGAGCUACAUUUCCCAGAAUUCCCUGGGAAGAGGGUUUGAUUGUUAAGCUACUUUGAGAAUUGCACCUGUGUGAGGAAAUUGGCAUCUCCUAACAAAGGUCCAUAUAGUAAAAGCCAUGGUUUUCCCAGUAGUGAUGUAUGGAAGUGAGAGCUGGACCAUAAAGAAGGCUGAUCGCCGAAGAAUUGAUGCUUUUGAAUUAUGGUGCUGGAGGAGACUCUUGAGAGUCCCAUGGACUGCAAGAAGAUCCAACCUUUCCAUUCUGAAGGAAAUCAGCCCUGAGUGUUCACUGGAAGGACAGAUCGUGAAGCUGAGGCUCCAAUACUUUGGCCACCUCAUGAGAAGGGAAGACUCCCUGGAAAAGACCCUGAUGUUGGGAAAGAUGGAGGGCACAAGGAGAAGGGGACGACAGAGGACGAGAUGGUUGGAUAGUGUUCUCGAAGCUACCAGCAUGAGUUUGACCAAACUGCGGGAGGCAGUGGAAGACAGGAGUGCCUGGCGUGCUCUGGUCCAGGGAGUCACAGAGAGUCGGACACGACUAAACGACUAAACAACAACAACUCGCAGCACCUUUAACAAACUACAGUUCCCAUGGUUCUUGGGAGGGAGCCAUAGCUAUUUCAAUUGGCAUAAUACUACUUUAAAUGUAUAGCACAGAUGAGUCCUCAGACUCAUGUAUAUUCCUGCACGUUUUUGAUUUUCACAAAAGCGGGGAGUUGUCAGACCUCUGGUUCUGGAAAAGCAGCAUUCCUUGUGGCUCUUGAAAAGAAAGCAACGGUGAAUUGAAAAUGGAAAUUAAAUUUAAUAGGCACAUAGAUCAAGGGCAAACCCAGGAGAGCAAACCCAGGGCUGCCCAAACACGAUCUGACGGAGAUCUCGUUUUGGAACGGUGCCGUAUUUCUUCCAGUCAGUGAAUACUUCUUGGUGGCCUGCAGCAAAAGCCUUGUGGCUUGUUUUUGGUAUUGGUUAAAUUAAUUGUUCAGUGAACUACUAGCGAUACUAAUCAAACAAUUUGUUUCUGGUGCCCUGCCAACUCUGGAGAAUCAAAAGGAGCAGAGAGAGCAGACGGGAAAGUUCAGUGCUUUGGCUCAAGCCAAGAUAAGCUACAUUUGUGGCCGCGGGAUUAUAUUUGUGGAUGGAUACCAGGCAAGGGAAUGAACUUUUGGAUGGCUUGGUUGUCCUAAGGAGGGCUUAGGAAGUCUGGGGUGCUGAACGGGAUAGACCAUAGCUGUCAACUUUCAGAUUUGAAAAUAAGGGAUCAGCAGCCUCGAAAAGGGACGCGGGUGGCGCUGUGGGUUAAACCACAGAGCCUAGGACUUGCCGAUCAGAAGGUCGGUGGUUCGAAUCCCCGUGACGGGGUGGGCUCCCGUUGCUCAGUUCCAGCUCCUGCCAACCUAGCAAUUCGAAAGCACGUCAAAGUGCAAGUAGAUAAAUAGGUACCGCUCCGGCGGGAAGGCAAACGGCGUUUCCGUGUGCUGCUCUGGUUUGCCAGAAGCGGCUUAGUCAUGCUGGCCACAUGACCCGGAAGCUGUACACCGGCUCCCUCGGCCAAUAAAGCGAGAUGAGCACCGCAGCCCCAGAGUCGGUCACGACUGGACCUAAUGGUCAGGGGUCCCUUUACCUUUUUUAGCCUCGAAAAUAAGGGAUCAGCAGCCUCACCUGUCCCGGGCACAGUCUAAGGGAUAUCUAACAAUCCGGGAUAGCAGCGGGAAAUGGUGCUGGAAUAAGGGCAUUUCCCGCAAAAAAAGGGAAGGUUGACAGCUAUGGGGUAGACCAGUCAGAGGAGGAGAGGCCAGCAACCGGCAGUCUUUGUGCCAAGCCUACGGCCCCCACAAGGCACACAAUUUUACUU